GUUGAGUUGAGUUGAGUUGUACAAUCAAGUUGUUAGCCUGUGCUACUUCAAUGCACUUCAUGUGCCAGAGCACUUUGGCACCAGGGCAGACAAAGUGACAUUCCUGAGAAUUUAGGCUGACUGCCUAGCGCCUAGUUGUUAGGUUUCCUUGAGGCAUUGCCAAGUCAUUGACCUGUUGAUGAGCCAUAACUUGCUUGGGCAAGAGAUGGUUUUGUUGAGUGGGAAAACUCUGUGAAUUUGCUUCUUCUUCUUGUAGCCAGAAAAUCUUCUCUUCUUAAUUAGGUGCCUGAAGUGGAUGCUGUUCUGUUAAUUUUAAAUGUUUGUCAAUCCAACUCUUACCAUGCAUCUUAUUUAGAUAAAUUAUUUUAACUUUAGCACUACACUAGGUUUGGACGAAGCCAAUUAAAAUGCAACGAAUCAGCUUAGUGGACGUGGUAGAUUAGGUGAUGGUGUCCAAACUAUAAAGUAGAUAUGUUGUUGUUUUAGUUGACCUAAUCUGUACUGAGUUGGCAUUGAAUUGACAUGCUAAGAUGGCUAGGUAAUUUUAAUAAAAAUCCCAACUAUUGGUUGGGGCCUGCAUCAACCUCGCUAGCCCCUUCGAUUCUCUUCUCUUUCUCAAUUUGCUAACUGCAACAGUUGAGGGUACUUAACUAUG
RNAcentral lists this unclassified non-coding RNA (655 nucleotides) under Hevea brasiliensis (rubber tree). The record is from RNAcentral. Lineage: Eukaryota; Viridiplantae; Streptophyta; Magnoliopsida; Malpighiales; Euphorbiaceae.